CACGUAGGGCGCGAGCGUUGUCCGGAAUUAUUGGGCGUAAAGAGCGUGUAGGCGGCCAUGUAGGUCCGUUGUGAAAACUCGAGGCUCAACCUCGAGACGCCGAUGGAAACCAUAUGGCUAGAGUCCGGAAGAGGAGAGUGGAAUUCCUGGUGUAGCGGUGAAAUGCGCAGAUAUCAGGAAGAACACCCGUGGCUAAGGCGGCUCUCUAGUACGGUACUGACGCUGAGACGCGAAAGCGUGGGGAGCGAACAGG
This 253-nucleotide ribosomal RNA is filed under the name uncultured bacterium. Its description in RNAcentral is "partial 16S ribosomal RNA". It matches the Rfam family "Bacterial small subunit ribosomal RNA", at positions 524 to 776 of the family's 1533-position model. The record is from RNAcentral.